AUUGAACGCUGGCGGCAGGCUUAACACAUGCAAGUCGAGCGGGGUGAUGGUGCUUGCACUAUCACUUAGCGGCGGACGGGUGAGUAAUGCUUAGGAAUCUGCCUAUUAGUGGGGGACAACAUCUCGAAAGGGAUGCUAAUACCGCAUACGUCCUACGGGAGAAAGCAGGGGAUCACUUGUGACCUUGCGCUAAUAGAUGAGCCUAAGUCGGAUUAGCUAGUUGGUGGGGUAAAGGCUUACCAAGGCGACGAUCUGUAGCGGGUCUGAGAGGAUGAUCCGCCAGACUGGGACGGAGACACGGCCCAGACUCCUACGGGAGGCAGCAGUAGGGAAUAUUGGACAAUGGGGGGAACCCGGAUCCAGCCAUGCCGCGUGUGUGAAGAAGGCCUUAUGGUUGUAAAGCACUUUAAGCGAGGAGGAGGCUCUUUUGGUUAAUACCCAAGAUGAGUGGGCGUUACUCGCAGAAUAAGCACCGGCUAACUCUGUGCCAGCCGCCGCGGUAA
RNAcentral lists this ribosomal RNA (503 nucleotides) under uncultured bacterium. RNAcentral's name for it is "partial 16S ribosomal RNA". It matches the Rfam family "Bacterial small subunit ribosomal RNA", at positions 30 to 523 of the family's 1533-position model. The record is from RNAcentral.